GAUGAACGCUGGCGGCGUGCCUAAUACAUGCAAGUCGAGCGAACAGACGAGGAGCUUGCUCCUUUGACGUUAGCGGCGGACGGGUGAGUAACACGUGGGUAACCUACCUAUAGGACUGGGAUAACUUCGGGAAACCGGAGCUAAUACCGGAUAAUAUUUCGAACCGCAUGGUUCGAUAGUGAAAGAUGGCUUUGCUAUCACUUAUAGAUGGACCUGCGCCGUAUUAGCUAGUUGGUAAGGUAACGGCUUACCAAGGCAACGAUACGUAGCCGACCUGAGAGGGUGAUCGGCCACACUGGAACUGAGACACGGUCCAGACUCCUACGGGAGGCAGCAGUAGGGAAUCUUCCGCAAUGGGCGAAAGCCUGACGGAGCAACGCCGCGUGAGUGAUGAAGGUCUUCGGAUCGUAAAACUCUGUUAUUAGGGAAGAACAAACGUGUAAGUAACUGUGCACGUCUUGACGGUACCUAAUCAGAAAGCCACGGCUAACUACGUG
Molecule: ribosomal RNA, 497 nt
Filed under: uncultured bacterium
Lineage: Bacteria
Description: partial 16S ribosomal RNA
Rfam family: Bacterial small subunit ribosomal RNA
Source: RNAcentral